GGGUGUCCCCUUGCUUCCUCACGGCUCCAUGUGCAUCACUCCUGAAGCUGCCUGCUUCCUUGGAAGAGGGUUACCUACUAGAUAGAGGGGGGGCUUUUUCGGUCAAGGGUUUAGGAGUAGAUGUACUCUCCUGCUAGAACCUCCCUAGAAGCUCUCAAGGUCUGUUUGCUGGGUAGGCAAGCUUUCAAGACUCCAGACACAUCCAAAUGAAGUGCUGUGUAUAGCAGUCUGCCUUUCUUU
Molecule: unclassified non-coding RNA, 240 nt
Organism: Panthera pardus (leopard)
Lineage: Eukaryota; Metazoa; Chordata; Mammalia; Carnivora; Felidae
Gene: 7SK
Rfam family: 7SK RNA
About the family: 7SK was discovered as an abundant small nuclear RNA in the mid-70s but a possible function has only recently been suggested. Two independent studies have found that 7SK RNA binds the CDK9/cyclin T complex (known as elongation factor P-TEFb). P-TEFb activates transcription by phosphorylating the C-terminal domain of RNA polymerase II.
Source: Ensembl